This 253-nucleotide ribosomal RNA is filed under the name uncultured bacterium. RNAcentral describes it as "partial 16S ribosomal RNA". It matches the Rfam family "Bacterial small subunit ribosomal RNA", at positions 524 to 776 of the family's 1533-position model. The record is from RNAcentral.
UACGUGGGGGGCUAGCGUUGUCCGGAUUUAUUGGGCGUAAAGAGCGUGUAGGCGGCCAGGUAGGUCUGCUGUGAAAACUCGAGGCUCAACCUCGAGAUGUCGGCGGAAACCAUCUGGCUAGAGUCCGGAAGAGGAAAGUGGAAUUCCUGGUGUAGCGGUGAAAUGCGCAGAUAUCAGGAAGAACACCGGUGGCGAAGGCGGAUCUCUGGGCCUUACCUGACACUCAUGGACGAAAGCUAGGGGAGCGAAUGGG